GGGGAAUUUUGGACAAUGGGCGCAAGCCUGAUCCAGCAAUGCCGCGUGCAGGAUGAAGGCCUUCGGGUUGUAAACUUCUUUUAUACGGGAAUAAAGUGCCCCACGCGUGGGGUUUUGCAAGUACCGUACGAAUAAGGAUCGGCUAACUCCGUGCCAGCAGCCGCGGUAAUACGGAGGAUCCGAGCGUUAUCCGGAUUUAUUGGGUUUAAAGGGUGCUCAGGCGGGGGAUUAAGUCGGCGGUGAAAUUUUGCAGCUCAACUGUAAAAGUGCCUUCGAAACUGGUUUCCUUGAGUGCGGAUGAGGUAGGCGGAAUUUGGGGUGUAGCGGUGAAAUGCAUAGAUAUCACGGGGAUCUCCGAUUGCGCAGGCAGCUUACCAAGCCGUAACUGACGCUCAAGCACGAAGGCGUGGGGAUCAAACA
RNAcentral lists this ribosomal RNA (420 nucleotides) under uncultured Proteiniphilum sp. Its description in RNAcentral is "bacterial SSU rRNA". It matches the Rfam family "Bacterial small subunit ribosomal RNA", at positions 356 to 774 of the family's 1533-position model. Lineage: Bacteria; Pseudomonadati; Bacteroidota; Bacteroidia; Bacteroidales; Dysgonomonadaceae. The record is from RNAcentral.